RNAcentral lists this long non-coding RNA (13961 nucleotides) under Octopus vulgaris (common octopus). Lineage: Eukaryota; Metazoa; Mollusca; Cephalopoda; Octopoda; Octopodidae. The record is from RNAcentral.
GAAGAUCUGAAAUUUUGGCCUAGUUUGGUUGUUUAUUGAUCUUGUCAUCAGUAUUGAAGGUGGUGGUAACAAACCAUUGACUUACAGUUUGUCAGCCAAAACAGAGAAUAGUGAUGAAACUUAGAAGGUGGUUGAUGCACCAAGAGGUGAUAACUGAACCGACAGGAUAAAGUGUAGACAGAGAAGGACAUACAUGAUAAACAGUAGUUGGACAAACAAGCCAAAUAAGGUCUAGUCAGAUAGACACACUGAGUUGAGAGUAGUGAAAGAUAUUAAGAAAAAAUACAGGCAGAUAGAAUAAGACAAAGUCUGCUGUCAGUUGGAACAUGAUGGGGGAAUAAUUGAAGAGACAAAGACAAGAGAUUAAUCAGAUUGGGGUGGGGGGAUAUAGUUGUUAUAAAUACAAAUAAUGAGGGACCAUUUGGGUGGAUAAUAGUUGAAUUAGAGGAAUGAAGGUUCAUGACCACAUGAUUAGGGUUUUCAGCUUAUGUAUCAAGUUGUGGGAUUAAUCCCUGGAUCAGACAUCACUUAGUGUCCUUGAGCAAGGCACUUCAUCUUGUGUUAGUCCAGUCUAGUCAGCUGUAAAUGAGUACUGACCAGAUGCUGAUUCAUCUCUCUCCCUCGAUUUGUCACAUCUUGGAUGUGUUGCUAGGCCAAGGGUAAGGGGCCAAAAGAGUGUCUGUGUCUGCCCAUGACUACAUAGAGACCUAAACCAAUUAGCAAAAUCAUGGUAAAUGUUACCAAACCAUAUCCACUUAUGAGUGAUGACUGGUUGUACUGCAUUGGGUGGAUGAGCUGGACAAAACAGGGAGUUGGGCAGACCAACAAAUGAAAAGGGACCAGUUCUACUGAUAGAUAAACUAACUGAUAAUAUAGUAGAUAGUGGAGCAAGGGAAAUAAAAUGUUGGACAGGUAAACAGGAAAACCAAGAAAGGGAUCAAUAAAUAUAAAUUGGACCAAUAAAUAGACAAGAGAGGAAUUACACAGGAAGGGGCUGAUGAAGGUGGGGUUAGUCUGACACAACUGACAAAAUAUCAAAAUUAAAAUGAUAGACAAAGACAAACAACUAAAUUAAGUUGUUGAUGAAAUCCACUAUUCUGCCAGAGUAUCCCUUUGGUUGACUGAAUUUCUGUAUCGUCCUAAACUGUGGUCUAUUUCCUUUUACUUCUGUGCCUUCCCCAUCUAGUUUAACAAUAACAAUGAUGAUGAUGACUGAUGAUGAUAAACAUCACAUUCCUCUCUUAGUAUUUUACUCUUUUCAUGUGGACUGUUUCUCCAUUAUUUAUACUGCAAUUUAUUUUACUUUCCUUAAAUAUUGCUGCUGGUACAACUUACUGCUACUACAACUACUACUACCAAUAAAAUUGCUGCUGCUGUGAUAGAUAUUAUUAGUAUUAGUAUUAUGGUGAGACAUGACAGCCAGGUGAUCGUAGACAACCCUCACAACAACACACACAUACACACAUACUCAGUGUUUUGUCCUGUGCUGUACUUAAUGUUUUUCUUAAUGUAAACUUUUUGUAGUUAAAGAAAUUAUUAUUUUUAAAGUGGUAAACUGGCAAAAUCAUUAGAACAUCAGAAAAAAUGCUUUGUAAUAUUUGUCCUGGUACUUUACAUUCUGAGUUCAAAUUCCUCCUACAACAAUUUUGCCUUUCAUUCCUCUUUAGUUGUGGUAAUCGACUGACCAACUCCCCUUAAAAUUGCUGGCCUUGUGCCUGAAUCAGAAAUUGUUAUUAUUACGUGGAACAGCCAGCUAACAGAAUUGUUAGUGUUCCAAAAAAAAAAUGCCUUGUAGUAUUUGUUCUGACUUUACAUUUUGAGUUCAAGUCCUAUUUAGGUCAGCUUUGCCUUCCAUCUCUUCAGUACUUAAUGAAAUAAACUACUAGUUAAGUAUUGGGUUGAUGUAAUCAACACCCUCCCCCCAAAUUUUUGGACUUGUGCCUAAAUUAGUGUCUAAAUUAGAAACAGCUAUUAUUAUUAUUAUUAUUAUUAAGGUGGUAUCCUAGCAAAAUCGUUUACAUGUUGAACAAAAUGUUAGUGGCAGUUCACCCAUCGCUACAUUCCGAGUUGAAAUUCUGCUGAGGUUGACUUUGCCUUUCAUCCUUUUAGGGUCAGUAAAUUAAAUACCAGCGAAACACUGAGGUGAGUGUAAUCAACUAGUCCCCUCCCCCUAAAUUUCAGGCCUUGUGCCUUUUGUAGAAGGGGUUAUUAUUAUUAUUAAAGCAAUAGAUUGACAGAAUCAGCUGAGUGAUGGGCAAAAGGCUUUGAUCAUAUUUAGUUCUGGGUCUUUAUGUUCUGAGUUCAAAUCCUGCUGAGAUCAACUUUGCCCUUCAUCCCUCAAGAUUCAAUAAAAUAGAGUACCAGUCAAGUACUGGGAUUGAUGCAAUCAACUGUACUCUUCUCUGAAAACUGCUGGCUUACAUUAGAAGCUAUAGGCAUUUCAUCGAUCUCUAUGUUCUGAGUUCAAUUUCUGCUGAAGUUGACUUUACUUUUUACCCUUUCAGGGUCCAUAAAGUAAGUACUAGUUGAGCACUGGGGUCAAUGUAAUUGACUUGCACUCCUCUCUAAAAGUUUCGGGUCUUGUGCCUAUAAUAAAAAGGAUUAUUAUUAUUAUUACAGAACAAUGGAUAAAAUAUUUUGCAUUAUUUAGUUAUGUACCUUGUCCAUUUGAGUUCAAAACACCAUGUUAGUCCACUGAGUUAUUCAAUAUUACUGUGGUUGAUUUAAUCAUCUAUACCGCCUCCACCAUUGUGCCUACAUUAGAUAAAUUUAUUAAUAUUAUCAUUACUCAGAUUUUGGACCAGUAGAAUUGGUAGAUAAAAUGCUUUGCAGUAUUUAUUUUAUCAAACUCAGUACUUGACUAGUACUUAUCAACUCCAGAGGAAUCAGUAAAAUAAUGUACCAGUGACCAUCCUGUUUCCCUCAAAAUUGCUAGCUUUGUGCCUGAAUUAGAAACAACUGUUAUUAUUAAGGUGGCUAACUGGCAGAAUCAUUAGCAUGCUGGGUGAAAUGCUUAGCAGCAUUUCAUCCGUCUACGUUCUGAGUUCAAAUUCUGCUGAGGUUGACUUUACCAUUCAUCCUUUCAGGGUUGAUAAAAUAAGUACCAGUUGAGUACUGGGGGAUCAGUGUAAUCGACUAACCCCCUCCCUCAAAUUUCAGGCUUUGUGCCUAUAUUAGAAAGGAUUAUCAUUAUUAUUAAGGUGGUCCGCUGAAAGAAUUGUUAGCGCACUGGGCAAAAUGCUUAGUGGCAUUUUGUCUGUCUUUACAUUCUGAGUUCAAAUCCUGCUAAGAUCAACUUUACCUGUCAUCCUUUCAAGGUCAUAUGUCCCCCUAACUUGCUGACCUUGUGCCAAAAUUUGAAACUAUUAUUAUUAUUGAUGACACUCACAUAAAACUUGCAGACCACCAUACUAAAAUACUUUAUAUUUAGAUUUCAAGUUUAUCCACAUUCAAAGUUUAAAUUCUGCUAAGAUCAACAUAGCCUUGGUUUCCCCCACCCUUCACAAUCUGGGCUUGGUAAUAAUGUUGACUAAGGUGAAGUAUUUUGUUUACAUUGUUGCAAAUAUGUAUGUAGCAUAUUCGUUAUUAUUGUUAAAGCAAAUGUUUUUUACAACUGGAUGUCUUCCCCAUUCUCUACUGUCAAAACUAUUAUUUGAUGUAGAGAUGGAACCUGUUCUUGCUGUUUCAGACUGAGACAACCUCAGUGCUGUUGCCUUGCUUCAGGGAUUUUCAAAAUAUCAGCUGUUAGUAGUAAGGUUUCUACCUGAUGAUGAUUGUACAAUUGCCUCACAUGAACUGUGCCUCCCUUUACUAACUACUACUAGUAUUAAUUAUCAUUAAUAGUUAUUAAAGCAACAGAAUUAUUGAAACUGGCUAAAUUACUUUGGAGUUACAUUCCUCUGAAUUCAAUUUGAAAUCCCAAGCUAACUUUGACUUUUCAUCUAUUUUUUUUGAGUACCAGUAAUAUACAGGGCUCCAUCCAAUUAACUCUAUCCCUCCACAACAUAUAUAUGACAGUGGUAGUAAUGGUAUAUAUCAUUACUAUUACUAGUAUGUAAAGCAAGAGUUGACCUCAUACCUGACUUCAAUCCCUGGUUGUGCCCUUCUCAUUUUGUUUCUACAGAUUCUUUUUAAAGAGUCUAAGUGUUAAACCUUUCCACUAUGUUCAGUGCGUAAUUUGAAAGUGUUUUAUGAUAUUCCCUUUUUUUUUUAUUUUGUUAUAAAUUUGUGACAACUGACAUAAAGUUUGCCUUUCAUCUUUUCAGAAAUGUAAUGUUCUGACGUACCAGUCACAUUCAAGGGUCAAUUAGAUCAGCUAUACUCUCCCUCUAAAAUUUGUGGCCUUUUACCUAUGUUAGAAAUUAUUAUUAUUAUUAUUAUUAAUAUUUUAUAAGUGUGGUGGAUUAGCAGAAUCGGUAAGUAUGUCAGAUAAAUUGCUUUCUUAAAAAUUCUGAGUUCAAAUCCCACCGAGGUAAACUUUGUCAUUCAUCCUUCUGAGGUUGAUAAAAUAAAAUACCUGUUAAGUCCUGGGGUCAAUUUAAGCAAUUCUUCUUCCUUCCUUAGUGCCUAAGUUGUAAACAGUUAUUAUUAACAGAAAGUUGGAAAUCUGACAGGUCUGUUACAAUGUCAGAAAAAAUGCUUUUGCUGUACUUGUUCCAAUUCUGUUCUGAGUUCAGAUGAAACAUGCUGAAGUUAACUUUACCUUUCACCCUCCACUGUUAAUAAAACAAAGUACAGUCAAAUGGGGCAUUGGUAUUGACUCCCUUCCCUCAAAAUUGUUGGCCCUGUGUCUAAAUCAGAAACGAUUAUUAUUAUUAACAGAGAAGAUUGUCAGAGUUUGUGAAGCACCAGACUAGAUGCCUUACAAUAUUUAAUUUUAUCCCUUUAUUGUUCUGAUUCAAAUCCUGUUGAUGAUUUUUUUUACCUUCCAUCCCACCAUGACUGUUGUAAUGACCAUCAGUAAUGUGCUGAGGGUUAUUUUAAUAAAAAAAUCUUUUGUUUUGUGCCAACAUAGAAAUAUCAUCAUCAUCAUCGUUAAUAAGCACUGUAGUUGAUUUAUUGUCAAAAUUUAGUGAAUUUAGUUUCAAUUCCUAAUUUGGUUUCUUCAGUUUAUUUACUUUUCUUAAGUAUCGUUGUAAAAAGCAUGUCAUCCAUAUCUCCUCUCAAAAAAAAAAAUGUAUAAAUUCUUUCACUUUAGAUCAGUGUUUCCCAACCUGCUUUCUGCCCAGGCCCACUGAUGGUUGGGAAAAAAGUUGUAAUAUGCUUGCUGUAAAGAAAAAGAUUUUUACAAUUCCAUGUCCCACUAAAAAAAAAAAAAAAAAAUGGAUCCCAUUCCCUACCACAAUUUUCCCAGGCUCCACUUUGGAAAUCACUGCUUUAGAUUUACUCUGAAAGAUGUGGCUAGUGGCUUUGGCUGUUGUGCUCACAAUUGUUAGGUCAUGGGUUUGAUUUCAUAUUGCUCCAGUUCGCUAUGAGUGCCAAUGGUUACUUCGAGCUUUGCUCUGUGACUGGCUGGUUUCUUGAGAAAUCUUGUACUCUCAGUCUGAAUACCUUGAAAAUCUAGGUAAGCUCUGGCUUUGUAAACCACCUGCUGGAUUGAGGCAGACUCUAUGUCUACUAAAAAAAUUUACUGCUGUUGCUAAGAUAGAGAAGUGGGCACAGCUGGAGUGGGGAUGCAAUAUUACACUGCUUUAUUUUAAUACUCAAGAUGAAAUAUAUACUAGUGAUACACUGGUAUCAGUUUAGUCAACUAUUUCCACUCUGUUUCUUUCAUAAGUUGGCCUAGUGAGUGCCUCUGAAAGAAUUUACUAUUUGUAAGAAAUAAUUACAAACUGUAUUGAAUUAGUUUUUAAUCAGGAUUGAUGCAAUGACAGAAAUGGUAUAAUGCCAGACUGGAUACCUUACAGUAUUUAUAAUUUCUUCCACCACCAUCACCACCACUAUCCCUUCGAAUUGAUCCUCUGGGAUUGUUGAUAAAGAAAGAGAAAGAAAUAGAUAUCACAAACACAUACACACACAUGUACAGAUGGGGAAGGGGUAAGGGUCAAUCUAAUCAACUCUAAUGUCUCUAAUAAAUUUGUGGCUUUUGGCCAAUGUAAAGAAAGAAAAUCGUUAUCUUUAUUACUCAACUGCUGUUAUAUUUUCCUGUUUCGAAAUUAUUUCCACCUCAAUAAUAUUUUUUUAAACCAUUUUUCUUCCCCACUUCCUCCCUCUCUCGACUUGCUUUCAAAGGUGGCCUUUAGUAUUGGACCUGUUACAUCUAUAAUAAGAUUAUGUGGAUGUGUAUGAAUAUUUAUGCACAUCCGUGUGUGUGCGCGGUUACUAUUCAUAUUGCAAUCAUUGUUAUAAGUGCACUGGAGAUGGUUUGGACUGUGGAGAACUAGUUAGAUGCUCUUUACACUCUCUGGUUCAGUAGUUCUGGGUUCAAAUCAUGCCAACCUUGACUUCACCUUUUAUAGCCCAGUUACUCCUUCCCCUACCAUCACCUUCUUUCAUUGCCUGAUAAAGUGGAGAAAUAUUUACAGAGUAAAUACCUGUAAUUAACAAAGUUAAUAUUAAAUAUAUCUUUCCCUUAAAAUAAUACAGGAAUUUGUGCCUAUGCAAAAAAAAAAACCUAUCAUCAUUGCUAUUAUCAACAUCAUUGUUGUUAUGCCAUACUGUAUUUGUUCCAAUUCUUAGUUCUGAGUUCAGAUCCUACCAAGAUCAACUUUUUGGGGUUAAUAAAAUAAGUACCAGUUAAGUGCCAGGGUUGAUGGUAUUAUUGACUAACCACUACCCAUAAAUUUCAGGUCUUGCACCUAUAUUAGAAACAAUUAUUGUUAUUAUUUGGUAGGAUUGUUAGAGCAUCCUACCAUUGUCAACUUUGCUUUUCAUCCCUCUGGAGUCAAUAUAAUUGACCAACCCCUCCCCCUAAAAUUGCUGGACUUGUGCAAAAGAUUAAAAAUUGUUGCGAGCUGGCAGAAUCGUUAUUGCACUGGGCAAAAUGCUUAGUGGCAUUUCAUGCCUCUACAUUCUGAGUUCAAAUCCCACCAAGGUCAACUUUGCCUUUCAUCCUUUCAGGGUUGAUGUAAUCAACUUACCCCCUCCCCUGAAAUUGCUGGCCUUGUGCCAAAAUUUGAAAUCAUUAUCAUCAUCAUCAUCAUCAAGGCAGCAAGCUGGAAGAAUCAUUAAAUGUGCCAGACAAAUGCCUAUCAACAUUUCUUCCAGUUCUGCAUUCUGAGUUGGAAUGUCAUUGAAGUUACCUUUUGGGGUUGAUGUAAUUGUCUAGCCCUCUUCCCCAAAAUUUCAGGCCUUGUAUCUUUAGUAGAAAGAGUUCUUGUUAUUAUUAUCGUCAUCAGCACGAUGGUGAGUGGCAGAAUCUGUGCUGUGUUAGAGAAAAAUACUUUGUUAUAUCUAUUUCUCAGUUUGGAUUGAAAUGGAAUUUGGUUUUUGUCCCUGCAAAAUUGAUAUAAAAUUGUACCGGUAAUAUUCUAGGAGUUGACUGGAUUGAGUAAAUCCCCUUCCCUUAAAACUAGUAUAUAAACAAAGACAGUAGAAGUUUAUUUUCUGUUUAGUGACUCAAAGUUUUGUGUUCAAAUAACAGCAGAGUAGAAUUUGCAUCUCAUUACCCACCUUCACUUUAUAUAUAUAUAUAUAUAUAUAUAUAUAUAUAUAUACAUAUGCAAUCUAUUUCCAUCAUAUACUGAUCUUUUACCAAGUCAUAAAACAAUUAUUUUAUGUUUUUGUCAACCCUUGUGGUAAAAUAAAGAAAGCAUUUUUAUUAUUAUUGUUAUUAUGGCAACAGAACUAGCUUAAUCAUUAGUAUGUUAGAUAAAAUGCUUACAGCAUUUCUCUUGAGUUCUAAGUUCAAAUACUAUCAACAUCACUUUUGCCUUUCAUCCUUUCAGGAUAAAAUAAGUACCAGUCAAGUAUGGCGAGGUGGGGGUUGAUGCAAUAAGCUUAUAUUCUCUUAAAGUUGCUGACCUUUUGCCAAAAUUUGAAAUAAUUAUUAUCAUUAUUACUGUUAUUAGGACAGUAAAGUGCCAGAAUAGUUUAGCACAUCAGACAAAAUACCUUGUGUUAUUUGUUACAGGUCUAUAUGCUCUAAGUUCAAAUCCUACUGCAACUAACUUUGCUUUUCAUACUUCUGGUGGUCCAUAAAAUAAUGUGUAUCAGUCAAGUACUAUCCCUUUCUCAAGAAUCUAUUUUUGUUUUAGGGUAAGGGAUUGGCAGAAUCAAUAUGCCUUCUGGUAUUUACAUUUUGAAUUCAAAUCCUGUGAAGUUUAACUCUGCCAGCCAUCUUGUUUCCAGAGUUGAUAUAUGAUCAAUUAGCUACUAAGUUCUCAAAUUGACCAAAACUGUGUUUUCUCAUUUCCUCCUCUCCUCCCCCAUCGCAUGUUUAACUUUUUUAUUAUUAAGUCAAUGGCUAUAUCUGCAUUGACAACACCUCUCUAAAUGUAUUACGGUUAUUUUAGCUUCAUUUUUUAGGGUCCCUGCAUUCAGAUGCUUUUCACAAUCCAUUUUAAUCUUCAACAACAAACAACUGUUUUGUUUGCUUAUCAUCAUCAUAAUUAUUUAAUGAAUCUUGUUACAUUUUUUAUUAUACAACAAAUUGCUUUUUCUUUGUCUUUUUUAGUUAUUGAUUUUGGUUUACUUAUAUCUCCACUGUCCCUCUUCCACUUUAAAAAGAUUUUCCCCCUGAAGUCAGUUCUAAGUCCUUUCCAGGGUAACCAUGGCAGUAAGAAUCAUGAAAUAAAAUAAAGGUAUAUGUGAGGGUGGGGUUAUUUUGAUUUUAUUUUUUAUUUAUCCAAGUAAGUUCCUUGGUGAUAUCAGUUUUGGAGUUUAAUACCCACCUAUUUUGUUUGAUUUUAAAGCAACAUGUAGCUGGGUCUUUUUUUUUUUUUUUUUUUUUUUUACCUCCAUAAUUCAGUUUAGUGCCUGUCUCAGUUGGUCGGGAUAUUCUGAGUGUAAUUUAGUGCCUAGCUAAUUUAUUUGGUGUUUUGUUUUGUCACCAUUUUUUAUGUAAACAUUAAAUUUAUACAUUCAAAAGACUUGUAUCCAUAACCUACAGCUACAGAUGACAACAACAACAAUCCCAUCCCCUGCCUCCAUGCAAUAUGUUUGUGAAGGCAGGACAGUUCUUUUCUGGAUAAACUGAAUCAAAUUUGUUUUAUCCCGAAACUCAAUACUUGCAGUAGAUUUGAACUUAAAGUCUUAUAGUUUGUAGUCCAGUGCCUAAUUCAUUUAAGCAUUUCAACAUUUUUAUUAUAUUUUAUUGAAUCUGAAAUAUCAAUGAAGCUGUUGUAAAUCUUUAUUAGUGUGUCUUCUUAUAGUCAUAAUCAUAGAUAUUAUUAUAGUUAGGGCAAUGGAUUGAUAGAAUUGGUAAAACUUUGGCCAAAAUUUUUUGGGGUAUUUCUUCGAACAUUGCAUCCUGGGUACAAAUCCUGCCAUGGUCAGCAUUGCUCUUCUAUUCCACUGGAUUCGAUGUAAAUUGACUAACCUCAUCUUCCAAUUUUCAAGCCUUGUGCCUAUUUUUAACAAUUUUCAAGUGGUGAAUUUGCAGAAUCAUUAGAGUGUUGGAGGAAUAAUGUCAUGCAUUAUUUGUUUCAGCCCUUUACGUUCUUAUUUUAAAUCCCACCAAGGUUGACUUUGCCCUUCAUCCUCUCGGGGUCAAUAAAAUAAGUACCAGUUGAGCACUGGGGUUGAUGUAAUCAACUUACAUCUUCCCUUGGAAUUGCUGUCCUUGAGCCAAAAUUUGAAACCACCACCACCACCACCAUCAUCAUCAUGAGGGCUGUAGAUAUGCAGAAUUGUUAGAGCAGACAAAAUAUUUUGGAGGAUUUAGUUAUUGUCCUUUACAUUAUGACGUCAACUUUUGAGUAUUAUUCUUGAUAAAAUAAAGUACCAGUGUCAUACAAGGGUUGAUAUCUUUAUAUAUCCCACUGCCCCAAUAAUUUCAAGUCAUGUACACUAUGUUAGAUAUAGUUAUUACUAUUGCUAAGAUGAAGUGGCAUAUUGAGAACUAGAGGUAAUGUCUUAGUAACUUGGUUUCAAUUUUCACUUGUUUGAAAUAAUAGCAUUUCACUAAAUAUCCAUAGUAAAAACUAUAACUUGACAACUUUCAUUUCAAAUUCCAUUUCACUCUGAUCCUCACCAUUUUUUUUCCAAAUCUCAUGCAUCUCUGUCUUUGCCAAUACAAACAUCAUCAUCAUCGAAACCACAUUGCCUUUCAUCCUUUCUGGGUCUAUAAAAUAAAGUCAAUUUCAUUAACUAACCCUCCUACCCUCAUAUUUUGGCCUUAGAAAAAGUUAUUUAAGGGCAGUGAAUUGGCAGAAUUGUUAGAAUAAUUUACAUGUGGUAUUUCUUCUAGCUCUAUGUUUUGAGUUCAAAUCCUGCCAUGAUCAACUUUGCUUUCCAUCCCUUUAGGGUUAAUUCAAUUGACUAUUUCUUUCUUCCAAAUUUCAGGCCUUGCACCUAUGUUAGAAACUAUUAUCAUAAACAUUACGUACACUGCCACCAACAUUUUAGUGUUGGCUGGUGUAGCAGAUGUAAAACUAGAGAGAUAUCAUUUCCUCCCCUGUUUGAUCUACAGCCAGGGUGGGUGGGAAAUCCAAGUAAAUCUGACUCUAUUAUUACUUCCAUUUCAUCACUCUUUUGGGAACAAAUGUAAGGAUUCCAUUUUUUUGAUUACUUUCCCACCUUUUAUUGUGGGCUUUGUGUGCAUGUGUGAGUGUAUACAAACAUAUAUACACACAUUAACUGACAAGCAGGCACUUAUGAAAUAAACACACACACACACAUGACAUGUAUGUUUGGAUAUAAGGACAUUGAAAGUAAUUUUUUAAUGUUUUUCCUUUUCAAAUUUUUAAAAUUUCCUAAAAAAAAAGUUCCUUAAAUUGUCUUUGGGUUGAUCUAUACCAAUGAUUACCAUCUGUAUAGCAGGUUUCCUCACCCAUGUGUUUUAUAUGUAUGUGUAUAUGUGUUUGUGUGUGUAUAUAUAUAUAUAUAUGCACACAUAUCUAUGUAUAUAUAUAUUUACACACACAUCCUUACAUGCAUGUGUGUGUGUGUGUGUGCAUAUAAACUGAGCAGAAGACAAGAAAUGGCUGGGGAGUUUAAUGAUGUGGAAAUAAAAUUUUAAACUAUCAGUUUAAAAAAGAACUAGUAAAUAUUCUUCUGGUCUCUGGUAGUUUAAAAAAAAAAUUAUUGUUAUUAUUGUUAUACAGUGGCCUUCAGCCAACUUCAAGUGUGAAAUUCAUUAUUAAUGUUGCCUUGUGCCUAGUCAGAAGAAAAUAUUUCUAUUAUUAUUAUUAUUAUUAUUAAGGUGGUGAGCUGGCAGAAUCAUUACCAUGCUGGGAAAAAUGCUUCGUAACAUUUCUUCUGGCUUCAUGUUCUGAGUCCAGGUACCACCAGGGUCAACUUUGCCUUUUAUCCUUAUAAGUACCAGUUGGACACUGGGGCCAAUGUAAUCAGCUUAUCCCCUCCCCUGAAAUUGCUGGCUUUGUGCCAAAAUUUGAAACCAUUAUUACUUAUAGGCAAUGGACUAGCAGAAUCAGUGGAGUAUUGGACAAUACCUUGUUCUAUCUUUUUUAUGUUCUUAGUUCAAAUUUCACAAAAGUCAACUUUGCCUUUCAUCCUUCUGGGGGUCAAUAAAAUAAAGUACUAGUCAAGAACAGGGGUUGAUUUCAUCGACUUUUCUCUUCCCUCAUAUUUCUGGCCUUGUACCAAUAAUAGAAACAAUUAUACUUUUUUUUUCCACACACUGUGUCUUUGGUGAAACACAAGAAUGGUUGAUCUGUAUGUAUACGUGAGUGAGGAGGGCAGAGGGUGGUUAUUUAGUGACCUGCUCAACCAAGCUGAUUGUAUAAUGUGAAUCUAGCUUUUUUUUUUUGUGUGUGUGUGUGUAUGUUGUUUUAUCUCCAUAUCAUCUCUUGAGAUUGGUACCAGCGAUGCCUUAAGGGGCUACUUAUGGUGUGCAGCCAGCUGUGCACAGCAGACAUAAGUAUGUAUACAUCUCUAUCUCUAUUACUUUAUUACCUGUGUAAAAAAAAAUUAUUAUUCCUUCUUGGGCUCUUCAAUGCAGGUGCAUUUAUUGCAUUUUUGAUAUGUUUGUCAUUACAUGUAGAUAUGCACACAUACAUUACAUAUAGUUAAGUAUACAUAUGUAUACACACACAAACACACGUUUUGACCUAAAUUCCUGCAGCAUAUGUAAAUAGAUUAAAUUAAUGGGAGAGCCCAUAUAUAUAUAUAUAUAUAUGAUGGUUCUCUCGUUAAUAUGAACAUUCAGUUGUUUGAUCGAUUGGAUGAGUAGUCAUUGAAUCAUCAUCAUGGCUGAGUAUUAUACAGACAAUUGUACCCUUAGCAUGACAUGAGUGAUACAAGGUUGAACCAUUGAAUUACAGGUACAAUCAAUCCAACAGGCUUUUACAUAGUUUCCAUCAGCUUAAAUUCACUCCCAAGUUUGGGGUGAAGCUGAGAUAUGAAAGCCACUAGCCUAAGAUUGAUCUCAUGGUUGUAAAGCGAACUUCUCAGUCACUCAGCCAUAUCUGCAUCCAUAAUAUAUGUAUUCAUUCCAUUCUGCUGUUUUCAAUCCACUAUGAGUGAAGAUUCAGUAUGCCAUUGUGAGUUGUCUAUGCUAGUUAUAGGCCUACCUAUCCACACCAGGUUGAAUGGGAUGCUCCCCAAGCCAAGUGAUUAGAGCCACUGGCAUCUGAUUCAAUAUAUAUGCUAACAUAAACACAUACAAAUAUCAAACAUCUUCCAGACUUUGUUUAUCAAUUGUAAUGAGCACUUUGACAUUUAUUUCUGCAAGCACCUACCUUUUUGGCAUAGUACUAAGCUAUUAGUAGACCUACUCAUAUUUAUAAUUAGUAUCCACCUACUAUUAGUUGACAAAGAUACUACUGUAGUCAAUAAACCCUUUUAUAUCAUGCUGAGUUUAUUUUAAUGAAACUUAGAUAAAACCUUUGCGAAUAUCUUCGAAAAUUUUGCAUAAGUCUAUGUAUGUACAUGAAAUGUGUGUGUGUAGAAGAGAGAGAGAGGGAGAGAUGUGAUUUAGGAUGUGCUUGUGCAUAUGCAUUUGUGUGUGCGUGCAUGUGUGUGUGUGUGUAUAUGUAUGUAUAUACACACAUACAUGGCUAUGUCUGCUGAAACUUGACUGUUUUUAAGUAACAGCACAUUAGUGUACCCAUUCUCUAAGUACAUAAACCAUAUCAGGGUACUCUAUUGUAACUAGUUCACCAUGUAGGAGUAACCCCUCAAUAUUGAAAUAACCUAGCUUUCCUCCCCCUCCUGCCUACCUGCUCACCCCUCUCUCCAUAGAUGGGCAUAUUCAUAAAAAGUCAACCAACUGACCAUAGUAGAAACUCUCAGCAUCGCUUGUGUCCUUCAUUGCGGUGUGUGACAGCAACAGGAGCACCGAGUACUUAAUUACUCACUCUUCCCUAACUCUGACGGGUUGAGGUGAGAGCUGAUAGCUCACAUCCAAAUGAAAUGUAAGAAUUGGGGUACAACACUUCAAUUGUUUGAGGUUUGUGCCUUAAUUUAUAUAUAUAUAUAUAAAUAUAUAUACACACAAUUGUUUCCAAAAUUUAUUCAAAUACACAAGCAUACACUCUCACAAACAAAUACAUCUAUGCAGUUUCUUCACGUCACAUCAUGUGUACUCCGGACAUGCGUAUUUAUGAUACAAAUAUGUGUACAUUACACAUUGGCAGAACCUUUUUAAACAAUUUUUUUUUUUAAGUUUUUUUAUAUAUACAUUCAUAUAUAUAUGCACACACACAUAUAUAUAUUAGCAUGACACCUUUCAGAAUGUACACUUUGUAGCCCAGCUGUAAGCUGCACACUAGCUGACGUACACUAAGCAUGCAUUGGCAUGUGUGUGCAACCCAUGUGUUUUUUUAAAAUCCUUUUUACAUUUUAUCAAUAUAAUUACUUUGUAAUUGUUUUGAAUAAACAUUCAUUUCAAUACAAUUUAA